AGGUCCCGCCUGCCCUGUGACGAAAGUUUAACGGCCGCGGUAUUUUGACCGUGCGAAGGUAGCGUAAUCACUUGUCUUUUAAAUGGAGACCCGUAUGAAUGGCACGACGAGGGCCACGCUGUCUCCUUUAUCCAGUCAAUGAAAUUGAUCUACCCGUGCAGAAGCGGGUAUACCACCAUAAGACGAGAAGACCCUAUGGAGCUUCAGACACCAGAUCAGACCGAGUUAAGACCCCUGGGUUAAUAGGAAUAAACCACACGGACCACUGUUCAAUUGUUUUCGGUUGGGGCGACCGCGGAGGAGAACCAAACCCCCGCACGGAACGGGGCAACACCCCUGAGAUCGGGCCCACAGGCCUGGUCAGCAGAACAUCUGGCCAUCAAGAUCCGGCAACGCCGAUCAACGGACCCAGUUACCCUAGGGAUAACAGCGCAAUCCCCUUUUAGAGCUCACAUCGACAAGGGGGUUUACGACCUCGAUGUUGGAUCAGGACCUCCUAAUGGUGCAGCCGCUAUUAAGGGUUCGUUUGUUCAACGAUUAAAGUCCU
Molecule: ribosomal RNA, 547 nt
Filed under: Gobius bucchichi (Bucchich's goby)
Lineage: Eukaryota; Metazoa; Chordata; Actinopteri; Gobiiformes; Gobiidae
Description: partial 16S ribosomal RNA
Rfam family: Bacterial large subunit ribosomal RNA
Source: RNAcentral